This is a long non-coding RNA of Vicugna pacos (alpaca), 1924 nucleotides long. RefSeq lists it as uncharacterized. Lineage: Eukaryota; Metazoa; Chordata; Mammalia; Artiodactyla; Camelidae. The record is from RefSeq and is a predicted model, not a curated record.
CUGAAAAAUUGUGCUCUACACUGGUAAUUGAUACAACAUUGUAAACUGACUAUAACUCAAUAAAAAAAAAGUUUAAAAAAAAAGAGAGAUGUCCAACAAAAUACUUGGCAGGAUCUCCUCAAAACUCAAGGUCACGAGAAGCAAGGAAAGACUGAGAAAUUGUCCCAGACCAGAAGAAAUGAAGCAGAUGUGACAAAAUUGCAAUGUGGUACCCUGGGUUGGAUCCUGAAACAGAUACAGGAUGUUAGUGUAAAAAGGAGUGAAAUCUGAAUAAAGGCUGAAAUUUCGUUAAUAACAAAGUACCAAAGUUGGUUUCUCUUGCGAAACACUCAAUGGUGAACUAAGAUGACUGAGUGAAGGAUUUAUAGAAACUCUCUGUGUUAUCAUGGCCAUUUUCCUGUAAAUCUAACAUUCCAAAAUUUUAAGAGCCUCAUGCUCUACCGACUGAGCUAGCCAGGUGCCGAAAAUUUUAAAGUUUAUUGAGGAAAAAAAGUGAUCAGUUUCCCUCUCUGCACUGUUAUUUUCUCCUUGGCCUUGACAUAGCCCUGCUUGACUCAGACACAAGCAGAAAUGCCACCACAGGCCAGGCUCCAGGCUCCCCAUAGUCCAGUUUGGAGGCUGGCAAUUUUACUAGAUUAUUGAAAUAAAUAUUAAUAACUUGAAAAUCCUCAGGGCCCCCAGUUUGAAGACAAUCACUCCCCUGCUUCAUUUCUCCAAUAGUGUCUCACUGUUCUGGAGAAGAAACCAAAUUCCUUACUGUACCCUGCAAGGCCUUCAGAGUGUCCCCCUACUUAUUCUCAGAGCUCAAUUUCUACGUUUCCCUCUAGUCUCCUAGGCCCCUGACCACCGGACAUCCCUGUCCCUGCCCGUGCCUGCCCCAGGGCAUUUGCACACUUGCCGUCUCUGCCUGGUAUGUCUUUCCCCACAUCUUCCUGUGGAGAGACCGACCCUGAUCGUCCAUCUCCCUCCCGCCGCAUCCCCUGUCACUCUCAACCACAUCUCCCUACUGGCUUCAUAGCAUUGAUCAUUAUCUAAAAUUGCCUUGUUUAUUUAUGUGGGUGCUGUUUUGUUUUGUUUUGGUGAGUGUGCUGGUUAAGAGCCGUGGACUCUGGAGCCCUGCCACAUCCCACCUCUGCCCUUGAACAAGUUAUCUGGACUCUCUGGGUCUCAGCCUCCUCAUCUAUGAUGAAGAAUGAUAAAAACACUGUGCCAUAGGAUUGUUGGGGGAAUUUAAAGAAUCUCUAAAAGGACUGGCCUACGCCUGGCACAUGAGCCUGGCACACAGGAGAGGGAAUGAAUGAAUUGAUGGAUGAAUAACGUGGAGUAAGGAUGAGGAACACUGGGUUUGGAGUCAGCACACCUGCUUGCACUCUCUUCCCUUAGGAGCUUUGUGACCUUGGGGUGGCCAGUAGCUUCUAGGGGCAGCAGGAGGGCCUUGCCCUGAUAUUCCUGUGGCUGAGAUUCUCAGACGGGAGAGUACAAUGAAAGUGGACAGUGAACUUGGGGAGCUGAUGGUCCUGAGGUCAUGCAGUCGGAGCCACAGCCAGAGGGUGCCUGCAUCCCGGCUAAAAGGAGUGUGGGCAGAAGUGACUGAGCAUCAUUUUCAGAUCUGACCUAUGAAAAAUCUCCCACUUCAUCCUCUACCCUCGCUUUGCCCAUCUGCCAGCUGGAUAUCUGUGCCCAGGGCCACCUGGGAAGCCACGUGUGAAAACAGAAGAGGUUCCAUCAACCAGCUGGAUCCCUUGACGACUCCAUGAAGCAAAGCCCUUCCCACCCAUCCCUCCCUGCUGCUGAGUGAACUUUAGAAUACUAAGAAAUUAACUGCUGCUGGGGGAGGGUAUAAGUCAGCGGUAGGGUGCAUGCUUAACAUGCAUGAGGUCCCGGGUUCAAUCCCCUGUACCUCCUCUAAAAAUAAGUAAAUCUA